Molecule: long non-coding RNA, 626 nt
Organism: Bos taurus (domestic cattle)
Lineage: Eukaryota; Metazoa; Chordata; Mammalia; Artiodactyla; Bovidae
Source: Ensembl
GUGUCCGACUCUUUGUGACCCCAUGGACUAUAGCCUGUCAGGCUCCUCUGUCCGUGAAAUUCUCCAGGCAAGAGUACUGGAGUGGAUUGCCAUUCCCUUCUCCAAUGAGAUAUAUAGAACUCUACAAAUUAACAUUAUGGAAUAAUUACCCAAUUCUUAUAUUUCCACAGCAAUUAUGAAAUGACUCUAGAGUUUCAACAUGAAGUUUAAAGUUGGCCCUUUGCUUUAGUGAAUCAGGUAUGCAAAAAAAAAAAAGAAGAUGCUUUCUUUGCUUCAAAUUCCAUGGAACAAAAGAUAUAAACACACAGUUUUGCAGAAAGGCUCCUCUGUCCAUGGGAUUCUCCAGGCAAGAAUACUAGAAUGGAUUUCCAUGCCUUCCUCCAGGGGAUCUUGCUGACCCAGGGUUUGAACCUGUGCCUCCUGUGUCUCCUGAAUUGGCAGUAGUCAUGUAUGCAUAGAAGAGUUGGACCACAAAGAAAGCUGAGUGCUAAAGAAUUGAUGCCAUUGACUGGUGGUGUUAGAGAAGACUCUUGAGAGUCCCUUGGACUGUAAGGAGAUCCAAUAAUCAGUCCAUAUUAAAGGAAAUUAGUCCUGAAGGACUGAUGUUGAAGCUGAAACUCCAGUCC